GUGGAGUAAAAUCCAUGAGCAACGCAGCUAACGCGUGAAGUAGACCGCCUGGGGAGUACGGUCGCAAGAUUAAAACUCAAAUGAAUUGACGGGGGCCCGCACAACCGGCGGAUUAUCUGGAUUAAUUCGAUGCAACGCGAAAAGCCUCACCUGCCCGUGACAUGUACGGAACUUUCCAGAGAUGGACUGGUGCUCGACAGAGAGCCGUACCACAGGUGCCGCAUGGCUGUCGUCAGCUCGUGUCGUGAGAUCUGGGGAUAAGUCCCGCAGCGAGCGCAACCCUUGCCAUUAAUCCCCAUCAUUUAGUUGGGCACUUUAAUGGGACUGCCGGUGCCAAGCCGGAGGAAGGUGGGGAUGACGUCAAGUCCUCAUGGCCCUUAUGCCCAGGGCUUCACACGUAAUACAAUGGUCGGUACAGAGGGCAGCCAAACCGCAAGCUGGAGCUAAUCUCAGAAAGCCGAUCGUAGUCCGGAUUGAGGUCUGCAACUCGACCUCAGGAAGUCGGAAUCGCUAGUAAUCGCGGAUCAGAAUGUCGCGGUGAAUACGUUCCCGGGCCUUGUACACUCCGCCC
Molecule: ribosomal RNA, 571 nt
Filed under: uncultured bacterium
Lineage: Bacteria
Description: bacterial SSU rRNA
Rfam family: Bacterial small subunit ribosomal RNA
Source: RNAcentral